GAUGAACGCUGGCGGCGUGCUUAACACAUGCAAGUCGAACGGAAAGGCCAGUGCUUGCACUGGUACUCGAGUGGCGAACGGGUGAGUAACACGUGGGUGAUCUGCCCUGCACUUCGGGAUAAGCCUGGGAAACUGGGUCUAAUACCGGAUAGGACAAUGGUUUGGAUGCCGUUGUGGAAAGUUUUUUCGGUGUGGGAUGAGCUCGCGGCCUAUCAGCUUGUUGGUGGGGUAAUGGCCUACCAAGGCGUCGACGGGUAGCCGGCCUGAGAGGGUGUACGGCCACAUUGGGACUGAGAUACGGCCCAGACUCCUACGGGAGGCAGAAGUGGGGAAUAUUGCACAAUGGGCGCAAGCCUGAUGCAGCGACGCCGCGUGGGGGAUGACGGCCUUCGGGUUGUAAACUCCUUUCGCUAGGGACGAAGCGUAUUUGUGACGGUACCUGGAGAAGAAGCACCGGCUAACUACGUG
RNAcentral lists this ribosomal RNA (468 nucleotides) under uncultured bacterium. Its description in RNAcentral is "partial 16S ribosomal RNA". It matches the Rfam family "Bacterial small subunit ribosomal RNA", at positions 28 to 507 of the family's 1533-position model. The record is from RNAcentral.